AACUCUAAGCGGUGGAUCACUCGGCUCAUGGGUCGAUGAAGAACGCAGCAAACUGUGCGUCAUCGUGUGAACUGCAGGACACAUGAACAUCGACAUUUUGAACGCAUAUCGCAGUCCAUGCUGUUAUGUACUUUAAUUAAUUUGAUAGUGCUGCUUGGACUACAUAUGGUUGAGGGUUG
RNAcentral lists this ribosomal RNA (179 nucleotides) under Drosophila sechellia. RNAcentral describes it as "5.8S ribosomal RNA". It matches the Rfam family "5.8S ribosomal RNA". From Rfam's summary of the family: 5.8S ribosomal RNA (5.8S rRNA) is a component of the large subunit of the eukaryotic ribosome. The record is from Rfam by way of RNAcentral. Lineage: Eukaryota; Metazoa; Arthropoda; Insecta; Diptera; Drosophilidae.